GAUCAUGGCUCAGGAUGAACGCUAGCGACAGGCUUAACACAUGCAAGUCAGGGGCAUCAUGAGGUAGCAAUACCUUCAUGGCGACCUGCGCACGGGUGAGUAACGCGUAUGCAACCUGCCCGAUACCGGGGUAUAGCCCAUGGAAACGUGGAUUAACACCCCAUAGUACUUUUAUCCUGCCUGGGAUGGGAGUUAAAUGUUCAAGGUAUCGGAUGGGCAUGCGUCCUAUUAGUUAG
This 236-nucleotide ribosomal RNA is filed under the name uncultured bacterium. RNAcentral's name for it is "partial 16S ribosomal RNA". It matches the Rfam family "Bacterial small subunit ribosomal RNA", at positions 15 to 248 of the family's 1533-position model. The record is from RNAcentral.